GGCUGGUCUGAUGGUAGUAGGUUAUCAGAAUUUAUUAACAUUAGUUUCACCAAAGUUGGUAUAAAACCCCCAACUGCUAAAUUUGUCUGGCUAGAA
Molecule: unclassified non-coding RNA, 96 nt
Organism: Gorilla gorilla gorilla (western lowland gorilla)
Lineage: Eukaryota; Metazoa; Chordata; Mammalia; Primates; Hominidae
Rfam family: Y RNA
About the family: Y RNAs are components of the Ro ribonucleoprotein particle (Ro RNP), in association with Ro60 and La proteins. The Y RNAs and Ro60 and La proteins are well conserved, but the function of the Ro RNP is not known. In humans the RNA component can be one of four small RNAs -- hY1, hY3, hY4 and hY5.
Source: Ensembl